Molecule: long non-coding RNA, 732 nt
Filed under: Mustela putorius furo (domestic ferret)
Lineage: Eukaryota; Metazoa; Chordata; Mammalia; Carnivora; Mustelidae
Description: lncRNA (ENSMPUG00000026062.1)
Source: RNAcentral
GUCAUGGGACUCGGACUUCCGCCAAUCCUAGGAGCUCCCCUUUUCUCCAGUGCUUUUCUUGCCCAGCAGGGAGGCUUCUGGACUGCUUCUGGGCCUCCACUGCCAGUCCCCGACUUCGGCCUGUGACCUUCCCGGAGGGGUGGGGAGCCAAGGGCCAGGGAUGUUGCCCAACAAGACCACCGCCUCACAGGGCCGCUGGACCACAGACGAGGGCCUUCGGACCCAGGCGCAGCCAGCCACCCACCCGUGCCCGCGGUGGCCUGCAGCAGCGCAGGGGCCAGGGCUGUGGAGCUGGGCAGCCAGCCCUGCACCAUUGACAGCCGGGGCACGUCUGCAGCGCCCCAGGGAACAAUCAAUGGACUCUGUGUCCCGGGAGCUGGGGACACGCCUGUAAGGCCUUUCUGCCUGCACCGUCACUGGGAGAAAAAUCAAGUUGUGCAGCAUUCUGGCCGACUAAAUGGGCUUGCCUUCUGCAGAGAGGCAGUCCUGGAGGACAUAACUCAGGAGCCAUCUCCCAGGAAACUCUUCAUCAGAACAUCCCUUGUCCUUCUGUAUUUGUUUUUUUGCUUUUGUAUUAAAAAGCUGUUUUGGGGGCCGCCUGGGUGGCUCAGUGGGUUAACCCUUUGCCUUUGGCUUAGGUCAAGAUCUCAGGGUCCUGGGAUCGAACCCCGCAUCUGCUCAGCAGGGAAUCUGCUUCCCUCACUCUCUACCUGCCCCUCUGCCUACUUGUGA